Molecule: long non-coding RNA, 8662 nt
Filed under: Musa acuminata (dwarf banana)
Lineage: Eukaryota; Viridiplantae; Streptophyta; Magnoliopsida; Zingiberales; Musaceae
Description: long non-coding RNA (MACU_LNC006297)
Source: RNAcentral
GUAACUUCAUCAAAUGCGUGCUGAUUCUGGUGUCUUGCAUUGAACCACAGUAAUGAAUUGUUGGACCUCCUUUCGCAUGUAUACUAAUUAUACAUACAGAAUGCAUUUAUAUAUUCAAUUUUGAGGCUAAGAGAUUGUCUAUAUUAAUGGAUUUGGAGAGGGCAGUUAGGUACUAGAAGCUAUUAGGACCUGUCACUGUCUCUUAAUGCUAUCCUCUGUCACUAAAAGUACAAGCUGAGUGAACAAUUAGAAUGUGACAUGAUUUCCAAACCCCAAAAUAGACCCAAAAUCUCAAUGUGUUUGGUUAGGUAUAACCUUACAUCUUUAUGUCGGCAUAAUGUGGUCUCCUCUGCAGGCUGAUAGUAACUCUCUUGGCAACUUGAUACAUGUUUGUACAUCAAAGCAUAUCGGUGUGCUUAUAUUUGAAUUACCAUUCUUGUAUUUAUACUAGUAGCAAUAGAAAAACAUUUAAAUGUUCUUAAUUCAACCACAGGUGUUUUCUUACACAGAGUUCAUUGACGCAAAAGAUGCAUAUAGCUGAUCAUGAAUAGUUACAUUAUGACUUUUAUUGUUGUUGUGCUUGUUUGCACUUGCUGGUUUUAUUGGAAAAUUCUCACUGAUCUAGGCUAUGUUGGUGAAACUUCUCAAUAAGAAAUAUUUUUUUCUUUAUUAAUGACAUCAAGAUAUUUUCUAAUACUGUAGCUGAAGCUAUUUGCACGAGCAGUCUUUCUAUAAAAUUAAGUUCCUUUAUCAACAUAGAACCAAAUAAACUAGUAGCAUUUCUUGAUCAAGGCAGCUUUCUUACCUCUUGGUUCAUUUUUCAGAAAAUUUGUUGCCUUUCUCAGGUCUUUCAUCGAAGUUGUAAUUUUUUGUCAAGUUGUAUUAACAAUGGCAUCUUUAGCAUGUUGAACCUCACAGGUAACUUUUUUGUUAAUUUCUUAAACAGUGUAUUUUCUAGUUACCUGUCUUUCUAGACUUGUAACUAGGUCAUCUCUUUACAUUCAUGAUGAAAAGGUUCAAUUAUUCUGCAAGUGCUCACUUGAAAUGUUUCAGGUUUUAGUUGUAGUAGGACAUUAGUGAAUCUGAUGUUAGAUAAAACAGUAUGCAUCUUUGACUUAGUCUGAAUUCUGAAGUACCCCUUGCAAGUCAUUGACUGAUGUUCAACCUAUUAGUACAAACUUGAAUAUCAUCCAUAUAUGAUCAACGUAAUGAAUGCCAUUGCCACUCUUAUGCAGCAUGUUUGAUGAAGAUACAUUUGAUAUGAUUUUCUAAUUGCUGCUGGGAUAUAGUGUGCUUCACAGUUUCUAAAGCUCCUAACUACAAUAGAGAAAUAAUGGAAGGUAGUGUCAGUGCGCAUGUGUCACAUCAAGCCAUUGUUUCAGUGGUGUAGAAUUGCAAGGAUGGAAGUGUGAUAAUAAGUAAAUUAUCCAAGGUAUUCUUAAUCAACUCUCAUACACAAUUUAGAGAUUUAUUUCUGAAAGAAAUGGCUUAUGGAAACUGAAUGCAGGUGGAUUAACAUGAGUGGUAGAGGAAUGUCGUCGGAUCAGAUGAUUAGUUGAAAGUUUUCAACUUCCUUCUGGUUGGAAGCAGAUACAGAAAAUAUAUAUAGUUUUGGUGCCCUCGAUUUGAGGUAGAAGAGGAAUCUGAACAUAGAGCAUCCAGCAAUAAGACUACUUUUCUUGUAUUUUUCUGCAAACAGUACGUGAUACUGCUUCAAAAGAUCAUGUUUUUGGUGCAAAAGAGGCUCUUUUGCUAUCUGCCAAGUAACAAGUCCACUAUCCAUCUUUCCUCCUAUCAACUUUGCGGUCUGUUUAACUUCUCCACUGCUAAAGACCAAAGUUCAGAGCAUAGUUCCAACUUUAUAGUGGUCGACUCCCUUCAUUCAUGUGAACUUUCCUCAGAGAAGGCUGCAAAAAAAGCCAAGUAUCACACCUGUCACAAAAAUUCUUCGAGUCUUUCCAUUGAGUUCUUUAAGCAGAGCGGUUGGAGUGAUGCACAAGUCAUGAAACUUAUCCGGAAGUCACCGCUGUUGCUGCGUACUAAGGUAGAGACUGCCCUGAAGCCCAGAAUGAGAUCUUUGAAGGACAUGGGAUUUUCUGACACUGAAAUAGUUCAGCUGGUUUCAUCAUGUCCAUCUGUACUCCUUUUACGUGAUAUCCAACCAAAGAUCGACUUCUGGAGGUCACUACUUGGUUCUAAUGAGAGGUUACUGAAUGCCUCUAGGAGGAACAUGUUUCUACUUGGUUCUAGCAUGGAUCGGAAGAUAGAACCUAAUGUAUCUCUCUUAAGGGAAUGUGGCAUCAGUGACAAACGCAUCGUGUAUAUGGUGAUGACAACGCCGGCCAUUAUGGGUCGAUCAAACAAAUAUAUGAAGGAAGCUAUCAAAUUAGUUAAGGAGUUGGGUGUGCCAUGUAACUGUAGAAUGUUCCCUUAUGCACUUAGUAUGGUCACCGGCAUGAGCCGAUCCAGGUUUUAUGAUACCUUUGCAACCCUGAUGAACUUUGGGUUCUCCCUGCAAGACAUCAUAGCUGCAUUCAGGAAGCAUCCAACCAUUUGGUAUUUGUCGAAGAAGAACAUAUGUGACAAGAUGACUUUCCUGUUGAAGGAAGCUGGUUGUGAGCUGACAUAUAUCAUUUCCCAUCCUGUGAUUCUUGCAUACAGCUUGGAGAAGAGGUUGAAACCUCGAUAUGCAAUUCUGAAUUUUCUUGAGCAGAAUAAAUUGCUGGAUAAAGUAUAUAGCCUGAUGUCCGUGAUAAUGCUAUCGGAAAAGAAGUUCCAAAAUAAAUUUCUUUUCCUGCUUCGCGAGGAGAAAUCUAUUGCUCUAUAUGAUUCCUAUUUGAAAUCUGUUGCUCAAUAGGAUUCCUAUGUUGCUGCUGGGCAUGGAAAGCACCAUGUUGUUUGGGAAAAUUAGGAUUGCAUGUGCUUCCUCAGACAAAGUGUCAACUUAUUGCACACUUAUUUAAUCAUGUUAAAUUUGUGACAAUUUAAAUUCUCCAAGGAGCUUCUUUUCUUUUAUUCUUUGGUACAACAAAAGAUACGGAUUCUUUUAUGCAGAAAUAUAGUGAACCAACGGGGAGAAGUCUUACUUAAGAAAGAUAUAAAGGUAACUAAAAUGUUUCAACUCUGUCAGCUAUCUGUGUCAACUUGGCAUCAGUCGUAUUAAUUUAGAUGAUUAAGAACUUGUUAAUUAUGUGAGUAUGAAUAGGGACUAAUAUAUGAUAGUAAAGAGUUAAUUGUGUGAGGGCUUUCUUUGUCAGAAUCCCAUCACCUCUCCACCGGCUCUAAAUUACAUCUCUAUUUAUAUGGAAUGAAACCUCUAUUGUUACAUGUUGUUAAUCAUGCACUAAUAUAUGAUAGUUAAGUGUGAUUUAUUGAAGAUAUCGAUUUACUAUAUACUAUUGUUGAAAAAUGAACCCACGAGAGUAAUACCUUUCGAUUUAUUGUUGGAGCGCACUAACGAAUAUUCAGUUAUGCAAAGAUGAUUAUUAUAAUAUGAUGAUUGAAUUUUGUGUAUACUAUGGUACAUUAGUGCAUGUGGCAAUUAUGAGAUUUAUUAGAUAGUAUCAACAUGCACUAUUGUAAGAGGCCCCGUGAGAUCAACGUGCACUAUUGUGAGAUUUAUUAUAUAGUAUCAACUGUCACCUCUCUCUCCCUCUCUCUCUCUCUUUCUCAGCCCGUGACUGCAUGCAUGCAUCCCAAUAUUCGUUCUAGUCAUCGUUCUAGUCAUAUCCAGACAUACUCACACAUUAAGAAUUUAAGAGUCAUCGGUUCAUCUCAAGCUUGCUUCUUAAUGUUCAAUUUAAUGCACUAAGCAAUAGAUAUGGUUUAAGGUAACAACACUCUCUCGAGUGAAGUGAACGGGUCUCGGCGCCCCCCUGAUUCAAAUCAGAGAGGACUAUAUUGGAUCUGAGCACAACAUAAGUCACUGGAUCUGGUUCGAUGGAACCAAAUGAAGGACUCUCCUCUCUCACACACAACUAUAUCAAUGGCCACGCGUCCAAUGAGAAGACUCGUGGAAACCUAAUCAGCCACCGGCGGCACCGUCUUCCUCUCCAUCCGCGAAUGGCGGCGGCAGCAAUGUCUUCCUCAGCGGGCUCAUCGUUGGUAUCUUUCUCCUCCUCCUCCUCCUCCUCAUCCUUUGCCGUCGCCCACUCUGCCCCAACCGCCUCCCUCCAUCUUCCCGCCCCCACCUUCGCCGUAGCCCCCCCGCGACCGGCGUCUGCCCCUGCCUCUUCCUUUCCCCUCGUCGUAGCCGUCUUACCCCUUCCUUCCUGCGCCGGCGUUUUCCCUUCUCCUCCCUACGUCGGCGUCUUCUUUCAUUGUAUCAUCCUUUCACCCCCGCAGCGUCUUCUCCCCCCUUCGCUUCGCUGCAGCCGCUUGAUAAGACCCUAAGGUUUUAUCAGGGAAAAAAUUGGGAGAAAAGGGGACGAUCACUUCGAGAUGAUCGGCCUCCUUGAUCACUUCGAGGGGAUCGUCGACGGGAACUUGUCUUCGUGCCCGGCACCCAGUGUGCAGCUGUUUGUUCAACAUUCUAAAGUUUUUGUUUUUCUCAUUUAUCUCUUUUCUCUUAUGCACGCAAAGUGUUCGCUGAAUGGCUUUUAAAGCUUUUCUUUUUGUGGGACGUCGGGACUUGUCCGUUGUUUAUUCUUCGAACUAAUCAACUUUUUCUUAUGCACGCAAGGUGUUCGCUGACCUUUGCGGACACAUAUCACAAGGGCACGUCAUGACUUUGGCAAUCCCAAUUAAGUCCAAGAAGUUGACGCAACGGCGCUUUGCGACUUAGGCAACUCAAGCCAAAUUUGUGUCUUGGCCGCAAGGGUGCCUCACGACUUAGGCAAUUCCAGUUAAGUCCGUGACAAGGCGACGGUGAAGAAGGAGGCAACGAGGGUCACGGUUGGGAUGUGUUGGCCGGGAGCAGUGGCGGUGGCGGUUGCUGGCCGAAGAUGCAAGGCUGACCCUGUUUUGGUCGCCGCGAGGAGGAGAGGUCGAGCGGCUGCGGUUGCGAUUGCGACCCAAGGGGGGGCGGGCGACGGUGGAGAAGGAGGCAGCGAGGUUCACGACUGGGAGGUGGGCGACGGUCAUCGUUGGCCGGGAACUUGCUGUGGUGGAGAGGGGAAAGAGGGAUGCUCUGUUUCUAUCGCACCACAGCAGGAGCCACUGGCGAUGUCGAAGGAUCGCGAGCGGUUGAGGAGAAGGCUGGCAACGGUGGUGGCUCGGGUGGGAGGUGACGGGCGACGGUGGACUCUGGCCGGGGAGCGGGGCUGUGGUGGGAUGGGACAUUGGCAGCGUCGUCUCCUGGCAGCGGUGGUGGCUUGGGUGGGAGGCAACAGGCGAUGGUGGACUCCGGCCGGGAAGCAGGGCGGUGGUGGUAGCGGCGGUGGGGUUGGUUGGAAGUAGGGAAAGUAUGAGCCCUUUCCACCAGCGACAGUGGUGGAGGAGAGGGGAAGCAGGGGUUCUCGGUUGUGCGUGGCUGCGCCCCCUUUUUUUUUUUUUAUGAUAACUACAACGAGGACUCCGAGGAUCGCUGCUCUGAUACCAAAUGAUAAGACCCUAGGGUUUUAUUAUGGAAAAAAAGGGAGAAAAGGGGAUGAUCACUUCGAGGGGAUCGACCUCCUAGGGUUUGUCAAAAGACUUAAUAAUAUUUCAUUGUCUCCGAAAAGAAACGAUUACAUCAUUAUUUAUAGAGUUCCACUUAGAAUCCAUCACGACUUGGACUCUUAAUAAUAAAUAAAUAUUAAAUAAAUUUCUAUCCGAUUCUAACUGAAUUAAACAUACUCAAUAAACAUUAUUCAAAAGUUUAGAAAAUAAAAAGGAUCCUAACAUCGCCCCAGCAACCCAACCGACAUUGACAACCAUUCUAACCCGUACCUCCUCCUCCUCCUCGGAUCCUUCAUCCUUGACCCCCUCCCAACUGACAACAACCCCCUCUUCAUCCUCCUCCUUCUAUGUAAAUUGUUUUAUUAAUAUAGAUUUGAACAAGUAUUAUUUGGUCCUUUAAAUGAUUACCAUGUUUCUUUUUUUGUUUUAGCGAUUAUAUCUAUUAAUCAUGAUAUAUACUUUUAAAAUUUUAAGAAGCAUCUCUCUUCACUUGGGCCAGCGCCUAGCCAAGCACCUAGCAUCUCAGGCGUUUUGACACUUUGGCGUCGUUUAGUGUCUCUCACCCGCGACCACACUGCUAUAGCACAACUUGGUUCACUUGUUUGGUUCCAUUUAAUUAUUCAGACCCAUGCAUGUUGCCACACUUGGUUGAUGUUAGUUUUCAUGCUUGGUCCUUUAUGUGCAUGUUUGAAUUCAUCUGAACCAAAUUGAGCACAUCACAGCUCCACAAAAAAAUCAUUGGAUUUGAGCUGCAUUGGUUAUAUAUGUAUUCUAAAAAUGUUAUGAGAUUCAAGUGAGAUUGUCUUGAUUCAAUUUUAACCUAAACAUGUUUCAGCUGCAUUCCCUCGCAACAAGUUCUAUGCAUAAACUAACCUGUCCAUGAGUCCCUCAUGCAUAAUGUCUGCCUGCAUAUACAUGUUUGAUUGCAUGCCAUUAUCUUAUUGUAUCAAUCUUUUGAUCCUAUUAUUAUUUUUUUUGUUGCUUACCACAUAAGUCGGUUGGUUCUAAAAUGGUUAUGAAUGGCAAAGAAGUUUGUAAUAUGACUUUUGUUUAUCGUUACCUAUUUGUUGCUCAGACAUAAUAAUAUAUGUGCAAUUUAGUUAUCAGAUAGAACCACACACAUGGGAACAUUGCACAUAUUUCUUGUCUGUUUUUGGCUCUUGUGGUAACUUCAUCACAUAAGUGCUGAUUCCGGUGUCUUGCAUUGAACCACAGUAAUGAAUUGCUGGACCUCCUUUCGCAUGUAUUUACUAAUUAUGCAUACAGAAUGCAUUUAUAUAUUUGAUUUUGUGGCUAACGGAUUGUCUAUAUUAAUGGGAUUUGGAGAGGGCAGUUAGGUACUAGAAGCUAUUAGGAGCUGUCACUGUAUCUUCAUGCUAUCCUCUUCACAUCGAAGCUCUCAUUUUUCUUUUUUGUUGUUGUACAUGCCUCUGGAUCGUUCAUCAAUCAAUGUGAUUUUGUAUUUUGCUGUGCUUAGAUUUUAUUUUUCAUUUUUUUCUUCUUUUCAUUUCUUUGCUAUGAGAUGGUAGAUUUGUGCCUUGGCGGUCAUUAUAAACUGUGGUUUCAUUUUACAUUUUGAAACAUUAGUCAUUUUGGCAUCCAAAAUAAUUUUAUGUGACAUUUCAAAUUUCCUAUGACAUCAAUUACUUUGUUUUGUUCUUGAACAUUGGUACAGUGACAUGGUAUAAGUGAUCUUUUAUACAUGCUCAUUUGGUGAUCAUUGUAACUCGUAAAGGAGGUCAUGAAAAUAAUUUUGACUAAUAUUAGUUUAAAUUUACUUUACUUGAUUGUGGCCCAGAUAAUGUAAUCAAAUGUGGUGCUCGGCAUUUGAAAAUUUUCUUAUUAUACAAUAUCUCCAAUGAUGCGUAUUUAGUGACAACUGAAUUAAUUUCUGGCUCUUGGAUAUGAGCUGGUUCAGAACUGACCUUAGAUGGUGAAUUUUUCAAUCUCAGAUGUUCAAUGUUCUGAAAAUGCAUGCAUGUCAUUUACGAGCAUUUACUUUGGAGAAACAGCAAGCAACAACAUGCAAGUUAAAUACUGUUUAUUAAGAUGGACAGCAGGAGAAGUGCUGCUUUUAGAGAUAGAAAAGAGAAUUGGAAAGUUUUUUGACAAAAAAAAAGCUUGGAAAAGAUUGAACAAGAGAUAGCAGAGACUGUAAUUGUGUUACUGGCCAAAGAAAAUUAUAUUCAUUUGUCAAUAGAAUCAUGCAUACGUCUGGUGAUUCCUCAUGUGAAGGAUUUUAUUUAUAAAUAUAUCUGAGAUAGUACUAAUCUGAUUAGGUUUCCCAAAAGAAGCCCUCUAAACAGCAGCUGCUUGCUUUGAUAAAAGUGUUUGGUUCAUCAAACCUCUUAGUUUCCUUAUUAUGCCUACCACCACAAUUUCCUUUUCAAACACACCAAAACAUUUCAACAAUCAUCAAAACCCCAAAUGGUUCAAAGGACUUGACUCUCACUAAAAGUACAAGCUGAGCAAACAAUUAGAAUGUGACUUGAUUUCCAAACCCCAAAGUAGACCCAAAAUUUCAAUGUGUUUGGUUAGGUGUAACCUUACAUCUUUAUGUCGGCAUAGUGUGGUCUCCUCUGCAGGCUGAUAACAACUCUCUUGGCAACUUGAUACAUGUUUGUACCUCAAAAGAUAUUGGUGUUCUUAUAUUUGAAUUACCAUUCCUGUAUUUCUACUAGUAGCAAUAGAAAAAUAUUUGAAUUUUCUUAAUUCAACCACAGAUGUUUUCUUACACAGAAUUCAUUGAUGCAAAGGAUGCAUAUAGCGGAUAUGACUUUUAUUAUUGUUGUGCUUGUUUGCACUUGCUCGUUUUAUUGGCAAAUUCUCACAGAUCUAGGUUAUGUUGGUGAAACUUCUCAGUAAGAAAUAUUUCUUCCUUAUUAAUGACAUCAAGGUAUUUUUAAUACUGUAGCUGAAGCUAUUUGCACGAGCUGUCUUUCUCUAAAAUUAAGUUCCUUUAUCAACAUUGAACCAAAUAAACUAGUAGCCUUUCUUGAUCGAGGCACCUUUCUUACCUCUUGGUUCAUUUUAUGGAAAAUUUGUUGCCUUUCUCAGGUCUUUC